Long non-coding RNA from Alosa sapidissima (American shad), 425 nucleotides. RefSeq lists it as uncharacterized. Lineage: Eukaryota; Metazoa; Chordata; Actinopteri; Clupeiformes; Clupeidae. The transcript has 3 exons. The record is from RefSeq and is a predicted model, not a curated record.
UCUGCUUCAUCUUUCAAGUGGAGAUAAAGUGGUUUCCAUCAACACACCUCUGGGGGAGAAUGUCACGCUGCACUGUAACACAUCUGGAAUGGAUAUAUCAAUAAUCAAAUGGGCAAAGGAUGGGAUCCAGGUGUUUGUAUAUAGCCCAGUAUUGGAAGACAAAAAAGACAAAAUCAAAACAAGCUUCACUUCAGAAAGGAUGGGUGUUGAUCCUUCUACUACGGUGCUGCAUAUAUCCGACGUACUGGUCUCUGAUGAGGGAAUAUACACAUGUGAAGUAUUAGGUUCUCAAGCCCAAAAGACAGAAACAUGGAACUUGACCGUUACUUCAGUCUCACCAGAUCCAUCCCAAUUGAUCUACAUCAGCACUGCUGCCAUAUCAGGGACAAUCCUCAUCAUCAUCUGUAGCAUAUUAUGUAUUUACA